Molecule: long non-coding RNA, 1489 nt
Organism: Scatophagus argus
Lineage: Eukaryota; Metazoa; Chordata; Actinopteri; Scatophagidae
Exons: 8
Source: RefSeq, a predicted model, not a curated record
UGUAGAAAUGCUGCUCUUCUGCACUGAGGUGAUAGGUGUGUCAGGCACAAGCGACGUUUUGGCUAAUCUCCCUAAAAAGAUACAUUAGCUAAAUCGUCGUCGGACAUAACUGAUACAUUAUUUCGUCUAAUGCGUUUCGCCUCUUUUGAGCUCCACACGGACUCUUUACCUGCGUGCAGCUAAAACCUGCUCAAACUUUGGUUAAUACUAUUUGGACCACGAACAAACUUUCUAUCUUUUUUUCUGUGGUAUAGACUGAAUCAUCAAUUGUAUUAUUUUUUUAACUUAGUGAUGUAGUAAAGUGUGAAAUUUGGGCUUUGUGACAAUCUUGGAUCCAGCGCAGUAGGCCUCCAAAAGUCCACUAUUGGUCAAGCUCCAAAAAUACUGGAUCCAACGCUUCCCAUAAUACAUUCAAUCUCCACCAUUCUUGUGAGAUCCACAGCUUGGUGUGCUUCCACAGUUGGCCACUAGAGGGAGAUGAAUGCAAGCAUGUUCUUCUGUAAAGGAAUCCUGGCCCACAAAGCCUUGGAAUUACAUCUAAGGUCACUUGACUUUUGAUUGAAGAGAUUUCAACCCAAACUGGAAGCUACAACUUCCUACAGUGAGAUCUCUCACAGCCCUUUACUGACAAGCACAGCGUUCCUGCGUGGUCGUGGGCCACAGGUCACCGUAGGUGAGGAUGACGGUGCUGGAGCCGGAGCUUGACCUGAACUAUUCCCCACUAAGCUGCAGUACAGCUCCUCCUGACUGCCCACACAGCUUGGAGACAACAUACUAUUCCUUCCCUGGCUGCCACCUCCACUGCUGGUCCGACGAUAGGAUGUAGUCUUCUCUGAACUGCAGGGUGGAGAAGUCACAUAAAAUAACUCUCAUCGAACAAGACGAACAGCGCUGUCUCACCUGACCGGCCCUAUGUGGUUCUGAGAAGAUGUUAACGUGGCACUAGUUUGAGACCCGGCACCAGUUUGGCCCUCCCAGGUCUGCUUCUGGCCCCUGAGCAGGCCUCCCUGUCCGUGUGGAGACCUAGGUGUCCUCCCCCCUUGGCCUUGGUUUUCUGUGUUGGGUGAAGAUGAGCCAUGUCUGGCCUGUGUCUGGGGACUGGAGGAGUGGGACGCUGGGUUCGAGCAGCGUCGUGGAGACCCAUUGGCACCAUUAACAGUACUCCAGCGGGCAAAUGAAGUUCCGCCACCUCCGCUUGAGGACGAAGGAGAACGGUUUUUGGAUUGCAGUGGAAAGCCCCUUUUGGCAGAGAGAAGAAGUCAGUGAUGAGAACAACUCCUUACCCUCUCAUCCAGAAACUGAAACUUGAAGAUGAAUCUAAAGAGGGACAAGACUCACCAGCUCGACACACUGUGUGUGCUGCAGCCUCCGUGCAGCAUCAAGGGCCGUCUCUCCUGCAGAGUUCACUAUAGGAGAUGUGAAAAAGGAAAUAAUUUUAAGUAUUUACUGAAUGCACUGGGUGAAACAGAAUAAAUAAAUUUAAAAGGUA